GGUCAACUUGCUUCCCGUCUCUACAUCUUCUGUUCUAAAAGGGAAAAUAGAUCCCCUUUCCCUUUCUGUGCUCUUUCAUGGUAGUCUUGGAAGUUUGGCUGUAUACCAAAUCGGUGGCAUGCCCAGCACCGAAGCUUUGGAGGAGAUGCUAGGCCGGCUCUGAGCGAGGAGGGGACGGGCGUUCAAGCCGCCCAUCUUGCGCCGCCCACCAGCGAGGUCGCAUCUUGCCGGUUUGGAUCUGGUGAGGCAGACCGGCCACCAGGAAGGCCACGGGAGAAUAUGAGCGAUAACUACUUGUUAGCUUCCUCAGUGCUCUGCUCUCCUACUCGUGGCACCAGGAGUGAGAGAUGUGUCGUCGGGCUGGACGACCAUUUUCUCUAUCGUCGUCUGAGCGGAGCAGAAUGUGCGGCUAUGAAUAUCUUACUACUCUCCCAAUACUCUCUGCAUUCUCCUCUUGGCUGGCAGUAUAUAUGUACUUUGUGGAGGCGAGCUAUGGGCUUCCUCAUUGUUGGUGUUGUCGGCUUCCAGCUAUAUAAGGUGCUACGGAUUUGAAUCAUUCCUACUUCCUCCAUAGCGGCUGAUUGUCUACAGGUCUUAGAGUCUUGUUGUUCUCGAAAAGUGGUGAUAUCAUAUCUUAGAAGAAGUCUGAUGCCUUACCUGAUUUGCUUAGUUUCCAUGCGCCAUUCCAGAGAGGCAGCAACUCAGAAGGUUUGGCUGGCGUCGUGACAUCUGUCAUAGUUUUGGCUGAUUUGCGUUGCAUCGUUUGUUUCAUCAUGGCGGCAACUCAGAAGAUUUCUAUAUUGUAGGUGGUCUGCUUGUCGGGCAGAUUUUGCUUCCUGGAUCUCUCACAAAAAGCAGCCCUAUAUCUAUGGAGCGAACUUCUGGCUGUACUUUGUCCAUCAUGAUGCUCUCCAGCAUAGUCCGAUCCUACCCUGAUUGCAUCCAUUGCACUUUGGUGUGGUGUUUGCCAUGCUCUCGGAUGCCGUCCAAUCACGCCCUUUUUGCAUCCAUCACACUUUGUCAUCGUGUUUAGCCUCACGUGGAGCAUGAUAUGGAUCGUGCCCAAUCUCACUUGUGUUGUAGUACAUGGAAAAAAAGUUUUGGCUUCUUGGGCGUUGCUGGACGUGGCCAGCUGGGUGUCUUUAUUUGUUCCUGUUAGCCGACCCCGAGUGGAGUUCUUUGGUUGAGUCCGUGUGUAUAGAUUUGGAAAUCCAACCACGCGUGGAGUUCUUUGGUUGAGUCCGUGUGUAGAUUUGGAACUGUGAACAGUAGAUUUCAUAUAGUAUACUCUUCUUUGACAACUACUAUAUCGGACACCUAUACUUUUUGUGUGGCAAGUAUUUGUGGUUGUCUCGGACACAUUAAAAAGGCUGGCAUGUUCAGGAUGACAGGCGUGUCAGUGGUGCGUGACAAACAAAUUAUUAGUACCUACAAUAGUUGCAUGUAACUUUUAAUAUCUUUAAAUCUCAGCCGUUACCUUAAAAAAUUAACGGUGGAGAUAAUUUAAUCUAUGUGGAUUAAUGUGAUGGCUUGUUUGUCUUUUGUCUUAAU
Molecule: non-coding RNA, 1551 nt
Organism: Triticum urartu
Lineage: Eukaryota; Viridiplantae; Streptophyta; Magnoliopsida; Poales; Poaceae
Source: RefSeq, a predicted model, not a curated record